CACCGCGGUUAUACGAGUAACACACGUUAAUACUUCACGGCGUAAAGGGUGAUUUAAGAAUUUUCAUUAAUAUUAAAGUUAAAAUUUUAUAAAGCUGUUAUACGCACUUAUAAGUAAGAAAUACAUUAACGAAAGUAACUUUAUAAAAAUUGAUUUCUUGACCUCACGACAGUUAAAACC
Molecule: ribosomal RNA, 180 nt
Filed under: Tetronarce californica (Pacific electric ray)
Lineage: Eukaryota; Metazoa; Chordata; Chondrichthyes; Torpediniformes; Torpedinidae
Description: partial small subunit ribosomal RNA
Source: RNAcentral